AGAAUCAACGCUGGCGGCGUGCCUAACACAUGCAAGUCGCACGAGAAAGGGUAGCAAUACCUGAGUAAAGUGGCGCACGGGUGAGUAACACGUGAAUUAUCUACCUCCGAGUGGGGAAUAACUGAGAGAAAUCUUAGCUAAUACCGCAUAACACUUACGAGUCAAAGCAGCAAUGCGCUUGGAGAGGAGUUCGCGGCCGAUUAGUUAGUUGGCGGGGUAAUGGCCCACCAAGGCUUAGAUCGGUA
RNAcentral lists this ribosomal RNA (245 nucleotides) under uncultured bacterium. RNAcentral describes it as "partial small subunit ribosomal RNA". It matches the Rfam family "Bacterial small subunit ribosomal RNA", at positions 26 to 285 of the family's 1533-position model. The record is from RNAcentral.